CAGCAGCCGCGGUAAUACAGAGGGUGCAAGCGUUAAUCGGAAUUACUGGGCGUAAAGCGCGCGUAGGUGGUUUGUUAAGUUGGAUGUGAAAUCCCCGGGCUCAACCUGGGAACUGCAUCCAAAACUGGCAAGCUAGAGUAUGGUAGAGGGUGGUGGAAUUUCCUGUGUAGCGGUGAAAUGCGUAGAUAUAGGAAGGAAUACCAGUGGCGAAGGCGACCACCUGGACUGAUACUGACACUGAGGUGCGAAAGCGUGGGGAGCAAACAGGAUUAGAUACCCGCGUAGUCCCUGUCUCUUAUAC
Molecule: ribosomal RNA, 301 nt
Filed under: uncultured bacterium
Lineage: Bacteria
Description: partial 16S ribosomal RNA
Rfam family: Bacterial small subunit ribosomal RNA
Source: RNAcentral